AAUGAACGUUGGCGGCGUGGAUUAGGCAUGCAAGUCGCGCGACAAGGAACCUUCGGGUUCUGGAGGAGCGGCAAACGGGGUAGUAAGGCAUCGGAACGUACCCUCUUGUUGGGAAUAGCCGCGGGAAACUGCGAGUAAUGCCCAAUAAUCCCUACGGGGCAAAGGUCCGCCGCAGGAGGAGCGGCCGAUGUGAUACCAGCUAGUUGGUGAGGUAAUGGCUCACCAAGGCUUAGACGUCUAGGGGGUGUGAGAGCAUGGCCCCCACACUGGGACUGAGAUACUGCCCAGACACCUACGGGUGGCUGCAGUCGAGAAUCUUCGGCAAUGGGCGCAAGCCUGACCGAGCAACGCCGCGUGCGGG
Molecule: ribosomal RNA, 361 nt
Filed under: uncultured bacterium
Lineage: Bacteria
Description: bacterial SSU rRNA
Rfam family: Bacterial small subunit ribosomal RNA
Source: RNAcentral